Callorhinus ursinus (northern fur seal) is the source of this 3058-nucleotide long non-coding RNA. RefSeq lists it as uncharacterized. Lineage: Eukaryota; Metazoa; Chordata; Mammalia; Carnivora; Otariidae. The record is from RefSeq and is a predicted model, not a curated record.
CAGGGUUUCCCUUUGAGGUAUGUGAACAUUCCAAAGUCGGGGUACUGGCUGCAAACUCUGUGUAUACACGAAACGCCAAUGGAUGGUACACUUUAAAUGGGUGAGCUGUUUGACAUGUGAACUCUAACUCGAUAAGCCGUGGAAACAACACUGAAACCCUCUUGUCUGGCUGGCUGGCUGGCACCCAGUAUGCAUUGGGUGAGAGUCUAAGGAUCCCGAAUAAUCAAGGCCUGUGGUCUGGGUGUUGCCAUUUUGAAGGAAGGGUGUCUCUGGUCUCCUGUGGAAGCCCCAGUCUGGUAUGGUCAUCCUCAGGCAGCCCCUUGGGCAGGGUUCACAGCUGCCGCACAUUGCUGGGCCCUGACAGGAGGGCGAGCUAGGUGUGCGUGUCCCAGCUUGCCAAUCAGGAAACUCAGGCAUGUGAGGUCAGGCAACCAGCCGACCUCCCUCACCGACCUCAUUCACCAAGACAAGUGGCAGCCAAGAAUAGCGCAGGGUUUCUAACUGUGUCUCACUUGCCGUAAACACCCAGCGCCGCCGCCCAUCAUCUGUCUGAUUAAAAAAGGGACCAUAAACGAUGAAGCAGGGCAGUGGCCCUUAAAGCUAUAUUGGGCUCAGGCCGGUAGAGGAAUGAAUCCGUCCCGCCUUCCAGUCCACACAGAGCAGUGGGGAAGGACCUGCCUGGACCCCUGUCAGCAGCACGGGUUGGCCUCUCUGGACCCGAGUGCAGAGAUGCAGCUCAUUCGCUCAGAUGUGUUUUCUUGCAUUUAAUACUUUUCAUCUUCCUGGGUCAGCGGGCCUGUGAUGAGUCACGUUCAGCCCCACGCCAGGGGCCUUCUGCGCGGCAGUCCGCAGAAGAGCAGGGAUGGGCAGUCUGGUAGAACUGGAGUGUGGAGAGGCCGGGGGUGGUGUAGCCAAAUGAGCAGUGACCCAGCAAGGUCACCAGACGGCUGUUUGAAACCCUCCCAGUUCUGCAACUUCCCAGCCGAGUGACCUCCAGCAGGUCCUGCAGCCCCUUCUGAGGGCCAGUUUCCUCAACUCUGAAAGUUCCCCUUCUACACUCGUAUGUGCUCGGCGGUGGCAGGAAGGGCCCUCCAGCACCAGAGCAUGCGCUCUGCAUGUGUGUUGUUGCGGGGCUGAGUGGUGGGCUAAGGAUUUGGGGUGGGUCUGUUUGGAUGGUAUGUGUGCACAGUAACCUGUUGCUACCUCCAAUAUUUGCCCUAAUCCAAUGCCCAGACCCCAGCCAGGUGCGAAACAGUGUCUGUGGGGACAGCCGGGCACGACAGAUGAUGACCGAGAGAGAAAUCAAGCCGGAGGUGAGAUAGCACAUGUGGGCCGAUAGAAAUGUCCCCUGGGGUCUGAGAGUGCCUCCAGCCAUGGCCUUUCUGUGGUUCCCUCUGAGCUGUCCCGCUCUUGGCCCAACAACAAGUGGGGUUUCCUCUGUGGGCUCAAGACCUCACCGGCAGGGAGCCCGAGUCCAGAGGCUGGACUCUCUCCAGAGGCGACAGUCAGUCUGUGUGUAGAGUCACAGCGCUCCUGCUUCUCUCCGGCAUUGUGGGGCAGGCGGGCCUGGCCCGGCCCUGACAGCUGGCUCUCCCAGGCCCCGCUCCAGCAGGGGACCUUGCGACAGCUGGCUCGAGUCUGGUGUCUGUGUCUCAUCCCAGUCUGGGACUUCUAAAUUUAACCUGCUAUCAGCUUGAGAGGCAGGAGGGCUUCCACUGUGACUAAAUGCCACUUGGAACCCUCUUCAUUCAUGGCCACCCUCCUGGCGCAUUCCCCUCUGGAACGUUCCCCACCCCCCAGUGCGCGCCACCAUCUGCGCGUCGUCAGCCGCGUCGGCCGGAAGGCCCAAAUGGCUGAGCAACCCUGGCUUUGUCCCGCCGCUGGCUAGACCGGCACCCCUGUUGUCCACAAGUGCACGUGUGCACACACACACACACACGCACGCAGGCACGCACACACACCCCAUGCUCUCUCAUAGGCAGAGCUUGGGAGCCGACACCACAACCAAAAGCCAAACCACCACAGUGAACUGUACCACCCAUAAGCCAUCUGGGUGGAGGGCGGCCAGCAGAGCCUGUUAUGCAAUUUCCUGCUUUGGUGUCUCAGACCCAGGAGACAGGAUGCAGAAUGCCGUUGGGUUGUUACAAUGCGGAAAACCCAGAGAAGAAAACCAAUUCCCGAUGCCCACAGUGAACGGGGUCCCUUGUCCUCCGUGGCAACGCCAAGAGGCUGCUGGCACCCCUGGAGGAUGAGCCCGUGGUCUGCAGCCAACCGGGCAGCCCUCCCACCAAAGGGAACAGGCUGGACUCACUAUGCAUGGCCUUGAGCAGCUUCUCGACUUCUGCUGUCCUCUAGUUUCCUCAUCUGUGAAAUGGGGACCCUAAGAACACCCGGGUUGUUAACACCUGGAAACCAAGUAGACCAGCGUGUGUUCACCACGUCAGCUAGAAGGCAACGACUCGGAGAAUCCCGACUUUCCAUACAAGGUAAAGGGGGCUCAGAGGGGCUCAGUGUCUUACCCAAACUCAUGCAAGUUGCCUUGACUCCACAGUCCACCUUCAGAGCCCACACCCACCUCCCAUCCUUUCAUAAGAAAGUUCUAAUUAGAAGAAAGCAUUUACAACGAGGGCCAUGACUCCACGCCACCCCCUUUCGCUUUCGUCGGCAGCUGACUGAGGGCAGGGCACAGAGCCAUGUUCUGGACUGACACCGUCCCGGCAGCUGUUUCUCCGUGUGAAGACAGGUUUGCAGGCCCGUGGGCAUCUGAACACUAACUCCCCAUCAUGUGGGUUUCUACUGUUUGCCAAAAAACCAAGCUGCCCCCAGGUCCUGCCUCCACACAGGGCACCAGCCGGGGCACUCUGGGCGGGGACUUGAGGUCCCAGGGCUGCAGACAGCAGAGGAUGUGUGAACAAAGUGGCCCACCUCCAAGUAUGCUCACUCCCGUGGCCAGAACACCAUCGACCCCAAAAUGAACCACCACUUCAGAAAACACUUCAGAAACAUCCAGAUCCUAGCCAGGCCUACUUUAAAAUUACAUUUUAUUUCUCUUUGUGAA